GACGAACGCUGGCGGCGUGCCUAAUACAUGCAAGUUGAGCGCUGAAGGUUGGUACUUGUCCCCACUGGAUGAGCAGCGAACGGGUGAGUAACGCGUGGGGAAUCUGCCUUUGAGCGGGGGACAACAUUUGGAAACGAAUGCUAAUACCGCAUAAAAACUUUAAACACAAGUUUUAAGUUUGAAAGAUGCAAUUGCAUCACUCAAAGAUGAUCCCGCGUUGUAUUAGCUAGUUGGUGAGGUAAAGGCUCACCAAGGCGAUGAUACAUAGCCGACCUGAGAGGGGGAUCGGCCACAUUGGGACUGAGACACGGCCCAAACUCCUACGGGAGGCAGCAGUAGGGAAUCUUCGGCAAUGGACGAAAGUCUGACCGAGCAACGCCGCGUGAGUGAAGAAGGUUUUCGGAUCGUAAAACUCUGUUGGUAGAGAAGAACGUUGGUGAGAGUGGAAAGCUCAUCAAGUGACGGUAACUACCCAGAAAGGGACGGCUAACUACGUG
This 497-nucleotide ribosomal RNA is filed under the name uncultured bacterium. RNAcentral describes it as "partial 16S ribosomal RNA". It matches the Rfam family "Bacterial small subunit ribosomal RNA", at positions 28 to 507 of the family's 1533-position model. The record is from RNAcentral.